GACGAACGCUGGCGGCGUGCCUAACACAUGCAAGUCGAACGAUGAAGAAAAGAAUCGAAGCUUCGGCAGAAAUUCAUUUCGGAUUAGUGGCAGACGGGUGAGUAACGCGUGAGCAACCUACCUCUUACAAAGGGAUAGCCUCGGGAAACCGGGAUUAAUACCAUAUAACAUUGCGACGAAGCAUUUCGAUGCAAUCAAAGCUACGGCGGUAAGAGAUGGGCUCGCGUCCCAUUAACCGGAUGGUGAGGUAACGGCUCACCAUAGUGACGAUGGGUAACCGGCCUGAGAGGGUGAACGGUCACACUGGAACUGAGACACGGUCCAGACUCCUACGGGAGGCAGCAGUGGGGAAUAUUGCACAAUGGAGGGAACUCUGAUGCAGCGACGCCGCGUGAGUGAUGAAGGAAUUCGUUUCGUAAAACUCUGUUCUAUGGGAAGAAAAGGACUGUACCAUAGGAGAAAGCUCCGGCUAAAUACGUG
Molecule: ribosomal RNA, 480 nt
Filed under: uncultured bacterium
Lineage: Bacteria
Description: partial 16S ribosomal RNA
Rfam family: Bacterial small subunit ribosomal RNA
Source: RNAcentral